AAUAAAUAUAGUUUUGUACUGCCCAUGUCUAGUCUAAUGACUAUUUAUUUUAUUUGAAAAAAGUUUAUGAUCAAUAUAUUUUUAUUGUUAUUAGAUGAUAAAACAUAAAUAGUACUUUAUGUGUGACUAUUUUUUAAAAAAAAUUCAUAAAUUUUUCAAAUAAGACGAACGGUCAAAUGUUGGACACGGAUACCCACGGCUGUACUUAUU
RNAcentral lists this microRNA precursor (210 nucleotides) under Oryza glumipatula. RNAcentral's name for it is "MIR812 microRNA precursor family". It matches the Rfam family "MIR812 microRNA precursor family". Lineage: Eukaryota; Viridiplantae; Streptophyta; Magnoliopsida; Poales; Poaceae. The record is from Rfam by way of RNAcentral.